GAUGAACGCUGGCGGCGUGCUUAACACAUGCAAGUCGAGCGAGAAGUUUUGAAAAGAUUCUUCGGAUGAAAUUUAAAAUGGAAAGCGGCGGACGGGUGAGUAACGCGUAGGCAACCUGCCCCAUACAAAGGGAUAGCAUUUGGAAACGAAUAUUAAUACCUUAUGAAACUUAACUAGUGCAUGCUAGGUAGGUCAAAGAUUUAUCGGUAUGGGAUGGGCCUGCGUCUGAUUAGCUAGUUGGUGAGGUAACGGCUCACCAAGGCGACGAUCAGUAGCCGACCUGAGAGGGUGAACGGCCACAUUGGAACUGAGACACGGUCCAAACUCCUACGGGAGGCAGCAGUGGGGAAUAUUGCACAAUGGGGGAAACCCUGAUGCAGCAACGCCGCGUGAACGAGGAAGGCCUUUGGGCCGUAAAGUUCUGUUCUAGGUGAUGAAAACUGACAGUAACCUAGGAGAAAGCCCCGGCUAACUCCGUG
Molecule: ribosomal RNA, 479 nt
Filed under: uncultured bacterium
Lineage: Bacteria
Description: partial 16S ribosomal RNA
Rfam family: Bacterial small subunit ribosomal RNA
Source: RNAcentral